AUGGACGACACGAGAGUCGUGCGGAAAUUUCUCCGUGUCGUGCCACCUCGCUUCGCUCAGGUAGCAAUCUCCAUCGAGACCUUGCUUGACCCGAGUGAGCUCUCCAUCGAGGAGCUCACGGGCCGGUUGCGGGUGGUCGAGGACUGCCUUGAGGACGGCCGUGAGAUCUUUGGAGGAGAACAACUCCUAUUCUCGAAGAAGUGGGAGGCGAGGAAGCGUCAAGGACGUGGUGGAGGUGCCCCAAGCAACGGAGGCGACACUGGCAGAGGCGGUGAUCGCACCCAGGGCGAAGCCGGACGAGCUUGCGUCGAGACCAUGCAGGAGGGCGCAGCGCCUCUGAAGACCAUGGUCCCGACAAGCAUCGAAGCCGUGCAGGAGGGCGCAUUACCUCUGGCGACCACGGUGCCGGCAACCGUCAAGUCCGUGCAGGAGGCACGGAGCUCUUCAACUGAUCCCCUCCCAACAUCGGUAGCGCUUUCCCCGACAACAGCGUUCUCGGGGGCCUACGACUAG
This 513-nucleotide ribosomal RNA is filed under the name Triticum aestivum (bread wheat). RNAcentral's name for it is "partial small subunit ribosomal RNA". Lineage: Eukaryota; Viridiplantae; Streptophyta; Magnoliopsida; Poales; Poaceae. The record is from RNAcentral.